GUAGGUGGCAAGCGUUGUCCGGGAAUUAUUGGGGCGUAAAGCGCGCGCAGGCGGUUCUUUAAGUCUGAUGUGAAAGCCCACGGGCUCAACCGGUGGAGGGUCAUUGGAAACUGGAGAACUUGAGUACAGAAGAGGAAAGCGGAAUUCCACGUGUAGCGGUGAAAUGCGUAGAGAUGUGGAGGAACACCAGUGGCGAAGGCGGCUUUCUGGUCUGUAACUGACGCUGAGGCGCGAAAGCGUGGGGAGCAAACAGGAUUAGAUACCCUGGUAGUCCACGCCGUAAACGAUGAGUGCUAAGUGUUAGGGGGUUUCCGCCCCUUAGUGCUGCAGCUAACGCAUUAAGCACUCCGCCUGGGGAGUACGGCCGCAAAGGCUGA
RNAcentral lists this ribosomal RNA (377 nucleotides) under uncultured organism. RNAcentral's name for it is "partial 16S ribosomal RNA". It matches the Rfam family "Bacterial small subunit ribosomal RNA", at positions 527 to 897 of the family's 1533-position model. The record is from RNAcentral.